AGUGAACGCUGGCGGUAGGCCUAACACAUGCAAGUCGAACGGCAGCACAGUAGGAGCUUGCUCUUACGGGUGGCGAGUGGCGGACGGGUGAGGAAUACAUCGGAAUCUACUUUUUCGUGGGGGAUAAUGUAGGGAAACUUACGCUAAUACCGCAUACGACCUACGGGUGAAAGCAGGGGAUCUUCGGACCUUGCGCGAUUGAAUGAGCCGAUGUCGGAUUAGCUAGUUGGCGGGGUAAAGGCCCACCAAGGCGACGAUCCGUAGCUGGUCUGAGAGGAUGAUCAGCCACACUGGAACUGAGACACGGUCCAGACUCCUACGGGAGGCAGCAGUGGGGAAUAUUGGACAAUGGGCGCAAGCCUGAUCCAGCCAUACCGCGUGGGUGAAGAAGGCCUUCGGGUUGUAAAGCCCUUUUGUUGGGAAAGAAAAGCAGCAGGUUAAUACCCCGCUGUUCUGACGGUACCCAAAGAAUAAGCACCGGCUAACUUCGUG
This 492-nucleotide ribosomal RNA is filed under the name uncultured bacterium. RNAcentral describes it as "partial 16S ribosomal RNA". It matches the Rfam family "Bacterial small subunit ribosomal RNA", at positions 29 to 507 of the family's 1533-position model. The record is from RNAcentral.